GCUCCUGUGGCGGAACAGGAAUACGCGCAGCGCUUAGGACGCUGUCCUGUAAGGGUUGCAGGUUCGAGUCCUGCCAGGAGCACCA
This 85-nucleotide transfer RNA is filed under the name Candidatus Nealsonbacteria bacterium CG_4_10_14_0_2_um_filter_35_20. Its description in RNAcentral is "tRNA-Leu". It matches the Rfam family "tRNA". From Rfam's summary of the family: Transfer RNA (tRNA) molecules are approximately 80 nucleotides in length. Their secondary structure includes four short double-helical elements and three loops (D, anti-codon, and T loops). The record is from RNAcentral. RNAcentral also lists the same sequence under 4 other names. Lineage: Bacteria; Candidatus Nealsoniibacteriota.